RNAcentral lists this transfer RNA (73 nucleotides) under Hippoglossus stenolepis (Pacific halibut). Its description in RNAcentral is "tRNA-Arg". It matches the Rfam family "tRNA". From Rfam's summary of the family: Transfer RNA (tRNA) molecules are approximately 80 nucleotides in length. The record is from RNAcentral. Lineage: Eukaryota; Metazoa; Chordata; Actinopteri; Pleuronectiformes; Pleuronectidae.
GACCACAUAGCUGAAUGGACAAGGCGUCUGAGUUCGGAUCAGAAGAUUGAGGGUUAGAGUCAUUUUGUGGUUG